Heterocephalus glaber (naked mole-rat) is the source of this 3320-nucleotide non-coding RNA. NCBI's taxonomy places the organism in Eukaryota, Metazoa, Chordata, Mammalia, Rodentia, Bathyergidae. The record is from RefSeq and is a predicted model, not a curated record.
UGGAGCUGCCAGAAAGUAACUUUGCGGAGUGGAGCGUCAGAAGUGAGGAGCAGGUGUCUCAUGCUAAAGUCGUAGCCCAAACCCUGAAGACACGAGUAGAAGAAUGUACUGUACAUGUUUGGCGUCGUGGGCAUCCCGGCCACCGAAAUCGCCCUUGGCACCCAGGAGCUGCGCAUCAGGUACCUCAGGACGAGGAACGAGCAACGAGCAAGCGGGUCUCACUAUAGGUCCAGGCUGGCCUUGAACUCACCACGUAGCCCAGAGUGGCCUUGAACUCAACAUAAUCCUCCUCUGCCUCCCAAGUGAUGGGAUUAAAGAUGCCACUGUGAACAGCAAGUAUGAGCGAGCUGUCUGCUGGCAGGUAAACUGAAGUCAGUUUCAUUUCUGUUGUGUGUUAUAUUUUGGAGUAGAGCUAUUAUGUCUUUCAGCUGAAGGAUUACUUCGUUUGAAGAGAUUAUAGAAGACAGUAUGAAGAAAGAAAAAUAAGCUGGACAUGGUUGUGCACGCUUGAAAUCCCAAAACUCUGGGAAGCUGAGGUUAGUAUCUGCAGAGGAAUUGAGAAUAAUGUAAGGCUUGCUGUGACUUUGCUAGGAGACAUAAAUGGUGUUACCAAAUAGAGUCAGCAACUGAGGAGGGCUUAAGAGCCCCUGCCUGUGAGACACGGAGAGGUACCAAUUCAGUCUGUCCUGAGAGAAUCUCUGCAUCUGGCAGAAGUUCAGUCCACUGAUGCAGACAAAGCUUCCUGGUUUACCCAUUUGUCUCCACUAGUUGUUUGCUGCUUAGAGGAAAAGCGAAGAGUAUGAGCAGUGUGAAGAGGAGAAUGGUAUAGCAAUAUGUGUGUCUUCUAUAAGAAGAGACUUUUAUAUUACUGUAGGUUUAUUUUCAAAAAAAACAAUUUGUGAUUUUUUUUUAGCUUUUAGAAUAAUAAAAACACUGGCAGCAUCCUCCAGAAAACAGCAUCCCCUGGAUCCUCCUCAAAAACCUCAUAAACAGAGAACAAGCGGUAGAAAAUUGAGAGGAAAAAAUGAAGAGCAAAGCUGUGUCCAAGUUAGUAUAGGACCUACUGAAAUUCCAGAAUACUUCAGGUUCAUGGUUCACUUAGUUCCACAAAUUGUGAUAUAUAUAUAUUCCUAGAAAUUGUGCUGUGCAAAAUCAUGAAAAAAACAACGCACCAAGGCUCAGAAAUGGGUUAGAAGCACUCUGGAGGCUCAGGCAGGAAGAUUGCAAGUUCGAGGACAGCCUGGACUACAUCCCGCUAGCUAGUUUGAGGUCAGUCUGAGAUACAUAGUAAAUCCUUGUCUCAACAAAACAACACACAUACACAUAAAAGGAAGGAAAGGAGGGAGGGAAGGAAGGAAGGAAGAAAAGACAAGAAGAAAAAAGAGGUACACCACUCUCAAGAAUCUCAUAAAAGAUAGGAACCUAAUAAAAAUGGUAGCAAAGUUUUUUUGUUUUUCUUGGUACUGGGGAUCGAACUUGGGACCUUGUGCUUGCAAGGCAGGUGGUGGAACUACUGAGCUAAAUCCUCAGCCCUGUUAGCAAAGUUUUAACCAUGUUAAAUGGUUAAGAAAAUAUAUGUUAUAUAUUUUAUAUAUGUAUUACAACAUAUGUAGUAUAUUACAUGUAUAUUAUAGUAGAUCUGGUACUUCACCUUGAAAAAGACCUUCCUUUCUCAUGGAAGUGCGCAUCAGGAGGGUUGCAGCUUGUGAGUUACCGUGAAUUGGUGAGAAAAGGGUGAUCUGACGUUGUGUAGGAAGCUCUAACAGCAGACAGAUGGAUGUGGUUCACUGUCCUCAGUUUGAUUGAGGCACAGAUUAUCACAAUUAAGGGAUCUUUCUGAACCUUAAGUCCUAGGGACACACCGGGCAUCAUUUUCUGCCUUUAAGAUACAGAUCCUUCGAGGCGUGUGAGUGUAAUAGAUAGCUGUUUCAUCAAUACUGAAAAUUUGAUCUAAUGAUAGCCAUCUUUUUCAUUUAACUUCUGCAUCAAUCUUUUUUUUUUUUUGGUACCGGGGAUUGAACUCAGGUCCUUGUGCUUGCGCAGCAGGCAGUGAAACCACUGAGCUAAAUCCCCGGCCCCCAUUUAACUUCUGUAUUGCUGCUGGAGGGUAUGUUGUAGCCUUUUUGUCUGCCCUUGUGGCCUUGUCUGAUCAUGGGGGCUUUGGAAAUUGAUUAUUGAGGCCACCAAACUAUCCAUUUCUAUCAAGAAGCCACUUUUGCAGGAUUUGGUGAUGUUUAAAGUUUUUGUAGCCAGGGGUGAUGGUACAUGCCUGUAGUCCUAGUACUCUGGGAGGGUGGCAGGAUGAUUGCAAGUUCUAGCCUAGCCUGGGCAACUUAGUGACUUAGCGAGGCCCUGACUUAGAAUAAAAAUAAAAAGGGCUGGGAUUUGGCUCAGUGUGAAUGCCUGGGUUCAGUUCCUGUACUGCAAAAAAUAAAUAAAGUAUUUGUACUGCAUUCUCUUUCAUUGUGAGAUGGAUCGUUCCUGACUUCACUGUUUUAUGUGUUUUUAUGUAUCUUGAUUCAGCUGUGUAUAGUUUUCUGUGUUUACGUAGCUGUGGUUCUUGCUGAUGAGAUCAUGCAUUAGCAAAUAUGAAAUUCUGCUUUUGCUUAUUUUUAUUAUGUCAGUAGUCUUAAAAUAAAUUCACAUUUUCAAAUCAAGCAUUACAGCAGAAUUGAUAAUGCCUGAUUUUGUCUUACAUUAGAAUUUUAAUCAGUAACCUAUAAAGAGCUAAUGUCACUUCUGUUUUCUGAGUUGUGGCAUGAUUACUCCCUUUGUUUCCCUAUGUCCUUUCUAAUCACCUUAGUUUAAGAUGGGAGGAGCUCACCCCAUUCUCUUGUGCGGGAGUGUAGAGGAUCCUUCACCCCCCUCAGGUAUAAUCUCCAACAGAGCAGAAUAGUACAGAAGAGGAAGUGCUGGGGCCAGAUGUGAUUGUUACCUGCUAAGCUGCAGGUGGCCUUCUUUCAGCGCAAGAAGGCAUAUGGCUAUAUAAAGCAUCCUCUGCAGAUGAAAACAACACUGAGAUUCCACCUCACCCCAGAAAGAAUGGCUGCUAUCAAAAAAUCAACCAAUAACAUGCUGGCGGGGGUGUGGGGAGUUGUUAGUGGGUCUGUAGACUGGUGCAACCGCCAUGGAAACCUGUAUGGAGAUACUGCAAAAAACUAGGGCUAGAGGUCCCAUUUGAUCCUGCUCUUCCUCUGCUGGGGAUCUUCCCCAAAUAAUUAAAAGAAUCAUACCACAGCGAUAUAUGUGCACCCAUGUUUAUAGUGGCACAGUUUGUAAUAGCUAAAGCUUGGAAACAGCCGAAGUGCCCAUCACCUGGA